GAGUUUGAUCCUGGCUCAGAUUGAACGCUGGCGGCAUGCCUUACACAUGCAAGUCGAACGGCAGCAUGAUCUAGCUUGCUAGAUUGAUGGCGAGUGGCGAACGGGUGAGUAAUACAUCGGAACGUGCCCUGUAGUGGGGGAUAACUAGUCGAAAGAUUAGCUAAUACCGCAUACGACCUGAGGGUGAAAGUGGGGGACCGCAAGGCCUCAUGCUAUAGGAGCGGCCGAUGUCUGAUUAGCUAGUUGGUGGGGUAAAGGCCCACCAAGGCGACGAUCAGUAGCUGGUCUGAGAGGACGAUCAGCCACACUGGGACUGAGACACGGCCCAGACUCCUACGGGAGGCAGCAGUGGGGAAUUUUGGACAAUGGGCGAAAGCCUGAUCCAGCAAUGCCGCGUGUGUGAAGAAGGCCUGGUU
RNAcentral lists this ribosomal RNA (416 nucleotides) under uncultured microorganism. RNAcentral's name for it is "bacterial SSU rRNA". It matches the Rfam family "Bacterial small subunit ribosomal RNA", at positions 9 to 424 of the family's 1533-position model. The record is from RNAcentral.